This 676-nucleotide ribosomal RNA is filed under the name uncultured Bacilli bacterium. Its description in RNAcentral is "bacterial SSU rRNA". It matches the Rfam family "Bacterial small subunit ribosomal RNA", at positions 71 to 727 of the family's 1533-position model. Lineage: Bacteria; Bacillati; Bacillota; Bacilli. The record is from RNAcentral.
CACCGGAGCUUGCUCCACCGAAAGAAAAAGAGUGGCGAACGGGUGAGUAACACGUGGGUAACCUGCCCAUCAGAAGGGGAUAACACUUGGAAACAGGUGCUAAUACCGUAUAACACUAUUUUCCGCAUGGAAGAAAGUUGAAAGGCGCUUUUGCGUCACUGAUGGAUGGACCCGCGGUGCAUUAGCUAGUUGGUGAGGUAACGGCUCACCAAGGCAACGAUGCAUAGCCGACCUGAGAGGGUGAUCGGCCACACUGGGACUGAGACACGGCCCAGACUCCUACGGGAGGCAGCAGUAGGGAAUCUUCGGCAAUGGACGAAAGUCUGACCGAGCAACGCCGCGUGAGUGAAGAAGGUUUUCGGAUCGUAAAACUCUGUUGUUAGAGAAGAACAAGGAUGAGAGUAAAAUGUUCAUCCCUUGACGGUAUCUAACCAGAAAGCCACGGCUAACUACGUGCCAGCAGCCGCGGUAAUACGUAGGUGGCAAGCGUUGUCCGGAUUUAUUGGGCGUAAAGCGAGCGCAGGCGGUUUCUUAAGUCUGAUGUGAAAGCCCCCGGCUCAACCGGGGAGGGUCAUUGGAAACUGGGAGACUUGAGUGCAGAAGAGGAGAGUGGAAUUCCAUGUGUAGCGGUGAAAUGCGUAGAUAUAUGGAGGAACACCAGUGGCGAAGGCGGCUC